Molecule: ribosomal RNA, 405 nt
Filed under: uncultured bacterium
Lineage: Bacteria
Description: partial 16S ribosomal RNA
Rfam family: Bacterial small subunit ribosomal RNA
Source: RNAcentral
AUUGAACGCUAGCGGGAUGCUUUACACAUGCAAGUCGAACGAGUGGCGGACGUGUGAGUAAUAUAUCGGAACGUUCCCAGUAGCUGGGGAUACCUACUCGAAAGAGUUGCUCAUACCGCCUACUAUUGGCGCGGCCGAUAUCGGAUUAGCUAGUGGGGGGGGUAAAGGCUCACCAAGGACACGAUCCGUAGCUGGUUUGAGAGGACGACCAGCCACACUGGGACUGAGACACGGCCCAGACUCCUACGGGAGGCAGCAGUGGGGAAUGUUGGACAAUGGGGGAAACCCUGAUCCAGCCAUCCCGCGUGUAUGAGAAGGCCUUCGGGUUGUAAAGUACUUUUGGCAGAGAAGCGGUAUCUGCAGAAUAAGCACCGGCUAACUACGUGCCAGCCGCCGCGGUAAUAC